RNAcentral lists this ribosomal RNA (479 nucleotides) under uncultured Desulfobacterium sp. RNAcentral's name for it is "bacterial SSU rRNA". It matches the Rfam family "Bacterial small subunit ribosomal RNA", at positions 909 to 1382 of the family's 1533-position model. The record is from RNAcentral. Lineage: Bacteria; Pseudomonadati; Thermodesulfobacteriota; Desulfobacteria; Desulfobacterales; Desulfobacteriaceae.
UACAAUGAUUGACGGGGCCCGCACAAGCGGUGGAGCAUGUGGUUUAAUUCGACGCAACGCGAAGAACCUUACCUGGGCUUGACAUCUGCGGAAUUUCUACGAAAGUAGGAAGUGCCCUUCGGGGAGCCGCAAGCAGGUGCUGCAUGGCUGUCGUCAGCUCGUGUCGUGAGAUGUUGGGUUAAGUCCCGCAACGAGCGCAACCCUUAUCUUUAGUUACCAUCAUUCAGUUGGGGACUCUAAAGACACUGCCCCGGUCAACGGGGAGGAAGGUGGGGAUGACGUCAAGUCCUCAUGGCCCUUAUGUCCAGGGCUACACACGUGCUACAAUGGGCAGUACAAAGGGUAGCAAGCCUGCGAAGGUGAGCCAAUCCCAAAAAGCUGUUCGUAGUUCGGAUUGGAGUCUGCAACUCGGCUCCAUGAAGCUGGAAUCGCUAGUAAUCGCGUAUCAGCGUGACGCGGUGAAUACGUUCCCGGGCCUU